Triplophysa rosa is the source of this 1115-nucleotide long non-coding RNA. RefSeq lists it as uncharacterized. The transcript is spliced from 3 exons. The record is from RefSeq and is a predicted model, not a curated record. Lineage: Eukaryota; Metazoa; Chordata; Actinopteri; Cypriniformes; Nemacheilidae.
CUGGCAACCAGACGUGAGAAUCUUGGCCCUGCCGCUGACUGCGGAGCGGACUCAUUGCUAUGCAGGAGCAGGGGUGAGCUGUAAAACCGAUGUCUUGCCACAUAUCAUGGUGAGCCGGGGAAGGCAGGAACACAUUUUCACCGGGAUGUUUACAGUUAUAAGUUAUUGUAUGUGGCUGCGAGGGGAGCGCUGGGUGAGAUGAGGAUGUAGCCCGGAGCUUCCGCUGUUCCUGUAAACCAGCGCUCAGACUCCCCUUGUGAAUUUGCUGUCAUCCAAUGAAUAAACAACAAACAGAAGAUUCGGCAAGCAGAAGGGAGUUCCUGUAAACGGUUCCUCUAAAGUUCCUGAGUUCCUGUUCCUGUAAACUCAAGAAGUUAGAGGGACACACGCCAGUCCACGUGUAACACGAUUUGCCACUGGUUAGAAAACACGAGAGAGACUGUUACUUCUAAACAACCUGAAGUGAAAAAAAUAUUUUACCUGCAUUAUUCCCCCUUUCCUCUGCAUUAUUCUGCUCUUAUCAAGUUAAGCAUUACAUAAGAGGCAGACGUGGUCUUAUUAUAGCGUUUCAUAACACAAACUUUUUGAAGUGGCAUAUUAUUUUCAGAUUACACUGGCAUCUCUGCUAUCUGUCGUGCUGGAUUCCAUAAGAUUUUUGCAUUGCGGUAAUGACUGAGCAUUACCGGGGCUAAAGUUUAAGACCGGUGUUCAGUUCUCAUAUGUAUGCUUGACCCUGUGUGCACUGUGAUUGAUUUUCGAUGGAGUAGAAAUGCCACAGGGACCUUCCUUUCCAGCUGAACAGGAAAAGUGAUAAUCGUUGAUUCCAAAAACGCAUUACGUUCCAGCGCAUUCUCGAUUAAUGUCAGGUUCAUCUAGGAGUCUUAACACAUAGGUGGAGUGUGGAGGAAUAGAACAGGAAAUGAAAACAUCUUCUAUAAUAAAAUAAAAAAAUCUUAAUUUGAAAUGUAAGCCCUGGAGGUUUGUCAUAUCAGCAAGGAGUCUUAUAAGAACAGAAUGAAUGGAAAAUUGGUAAUGGAAACAGAGUGGAAUUUGAAAAAAAAUCCCGGAAGUCUUUAUAUAAUAUCUGUCAUAUUUAGUCAUUAUUUACAAACACA